Molecule: long non-coding RNA, 496 nt
Organism: Sipha flava (yellow sugarcane aphid)
Lineage: Eukaryota; Metazoa; Arthropoda; Insecta; Hemiptera; Aphididae
Exons: 3
Source: RefSeq, a predicted model, not a curated record
CUGCGGCAUACGUCCGGGCUUUAGGGUGAAAUGUAUUAGUCGAUAUUGUUGUGUGUACGACAAUAAUCCACAGAGGCUUGUUGACGAAAAUGGUGCAAACACAGCGCCCGUGGAUGACCCAGAGCACGCGUUCUUCCAAUGCGACAGGUGGUUUCGGCAGAGGAGAGAGCUGCAAGUGGAUAUCGGCUGUGAAUUCAUCCCUGAACACGCAAUCCCGAGUAUGCUCACAUAGAGAAACAAUUGGUCGGCAGUUGACAAGUUUGUCAACUACGUGCUGUCCCGCAAGGAAGGAGAGGAGAGGGAGCAACAACGUUUACCCCGCCCUUAAAUAAGCUUUCUUUGUGGCCCGAAGGGCAAACUCGAGAAGGGGGUAGAGCACCUCAAAUUUUUGUAAAUUUUCUAGAUUUGUAUGUUCGUUAAUUUGUAUUACUGUUGUCAUCAAUAAACGAUGUAGGAGAGCUGGCGAAUUACCCACCGGUAUUUCCGGCCCCCUACG